AUGGUUCAAACUUUUCAACCUUACUCUCUUCACCAAUUGUCUGAUGAAGAUUGUUGGUCAGUGUUUGCAAACAAUGCUUGCCUUUCACCAGAUGAGAAUAUGGAUCUCCAAAAAAUUGGCAAACAGAUCGUUAGGAAGUGUAAGGGAUUGCCUUUAGCAGCACAGUCACUUGGGCGCUUGUUGCGAGAAAAACGUGAAAUCAGGGAUUCAAAUAGUAUACUUAAUAAUAAUAUCUGGGAGAAUAAGAGUAAGAUCAUUCCAGCAUUGAGUGAGAAUUAG
Non-coding RNA from Vicia faba (fava bean), 279 nucleotides. Lineage: Eukaryota; Viridiplantae; Streptophyta; Magnoliopsida; Fabales; Fabaceae. The record is from the annotation of a GenBank genome assembly.